Long non-coding RNA from Pan troglodytes (chimpanzee), 1114 nucleotides. RefSeq lists it as uncharacterized. Lineage: Eukaryota; Metazoa; Chordata; Mammalia; Primates; Hominidae. The transcript has 2 exons. The record is from RefSeq and is a predicted model, not a curated record.
GAUUAAUAUGCGGAACCUUGGCAAGGCAGAAACGAUUCUCAGUUAUGUUUCCCACUCCAGGAGAAUGUGACUUCCUGUUUGAAAUGGAGGAGGGCUUUGUCCCAACACAUGAUGAUCUUCACAGGCUGACAUUCUGGUCUCUUCAUUACACAGGAGUGACGCCUGAAGCUGAAGCGAUUAACACAAUGUUACACGACCGAAAGCUGAGGCAAGGGGCCAAUGUGGAGCCAUGAUUUGGAGCUGCUGGUUCCCAAGAGAGGAAUGCUUCCUCCAGGAGACACUGCAAUGGUUUUACUGAACUAGAAGUUGAGAUUGCCCCUUGGCUAUUUUAGACUACCAAUGCCACAGAAACAAAAGGCAAAGAAGGCAAUUACCCUGCUGACUGGGGUGAAUGAUCCCAAUUUCCACAGGGAAACUGGACUGCUGCCAUUGCUGCCAUACAACAGGGGCAGAGAAGAGUAUGCCUGACACCUGGAGAGUCUCUAGAGUGCCUCUUGGUACUUCCAUGUCCAAGAGUAAAAAUCAGUGGAAAACUAAAGCAACUAACAGACACACAGAGAGAAUCACUGAGGAUUGAGAUACCUAGGUUAUUCCACCAGGUAAUAAAUAAACCUCUGCCACAGAAGGUGCUGGCUGAGGGCAAAAGCCAAGUCCCAGCAGUCACGGUUUCCAUAUUGAAGCAAUGUUAAUUCCUCCUCUCAUUCCACCAAUCCCAGAUAAAUAUUCUAUAUCCUACAGACUGAACCAGGAAAAUAAUUCAUGCCACCCAGAGACAGACACCAUGCCAACUGGGACAUUUUGUCUUCCCUUAAGAGUGUGAAUACUGCAUGAAGCAUAGACACAUCAUAGGCAGAAACAAAGCUGUCCUGCUGUUGUGCCAAGUUGAAAAUGUGCAGGAGGAUAUGUGAAUGCUGAGAAUCUGAAGGGUUGGACUGUGCUGGUCAUUUAGUUGCCGUCUUUCUGAUCCAAGUCUGACCUGUGUGGUGGGGCAAGGACUGUGCAAACUGCAUCCUCGCUUUGCCAGUUGAAUUUCUAUUGGGUUCUGCCAGUAGGGGCUCAAGAUGGAGAAGGCAGAGGGGAACCUUAAAGUCAAUAUACCUUUACAGAAAGCGGG